Molecule: transfer RNA, 72 nt
Filed under: Elusimicrobiota bacterium
Lineage: Bacteria; Pseudomonadati; Elusimicrobiota
Also listed under: 1 other name
Description: tRNA-Val
Rfam family: tRNA
About the family: Transfer RNA (tRNA) molecules are approximately 80 nucleotides in length.
Source: RNAcentral
GGGCCGUUAGCUCAGCGGUGGAGCGUCCGCCUUACACGCGGAAGGCCGCAGGUUCGAAUCCUGCACGGCCCA